Molecule: ribosomal RNA, 441 nt
Filed under: uncultured bacterium
Lineage: Bacteria
Description: partial 16S ribosomal RNA
Rfam family: Bacterial small subunit ribosomal RNA
Source: RNAcentral
CUACGGGUUGCUCCAGUGGGGAAUAUUGGGCAAUGGGCGCAAGCCUGACCCAGCAACGCCGCGUGAGGGAAGAAGGUUUUCGGAUUGUAAACCUCUGUCCUUGGGGACGAAGAAGUGACGGUACCCAAGGAGGAAGCUCCGGCUAACUACGUGCCAGCAGCCGCGGUAAUACGUAGGGAGCAAGUGUUGUCCGGAAUUACUGGGCGUAAAGGGUGCGUAGGCGGCAUAUUAAGUCAGGUGUGAAAUACUCGGGCUCAACCCGAGGGGUGCAUUUGAAACUGAUAAGCUUGAGUGUGAGAGAGGAAAGUGGAAUUCCUAGUGUAGCGGUGGAAUGCGUAGAUAUUAGGAGGAACACCAGUGGCGAAGGCGACUUUCUGGCUCAUAACUGACGCUGAGGCACGAAAGCGUGGGGAGCAAACAGGAUUAGAUACCCGAGUAGUC